Molecule: ribosomal RNA, 741 nt
Filed under: uncultured archaeon
Lineage: Archaea
Description: bacterial SSU rRNA
Rfam family: Archaeal small subunit ribosomal RNA
Source: RNAcentral
UUCCGGUUGAUCCUGCCGGAGGACAUUGCUAUUGGGAUUCGAUUUAGCCAUGCUAGUCGAACGAGUUCAGACUCGUGGCGAAUAGCUCAGUAACACGUGGCCAAGCUCCCCUUCAGUCAGCGAUACCCUCGGGAAACUGAGGUUAACAGCUGAUACAAAACGCCAGCUGGAAUGCGGCGUUUCAGAAAGACAUCGCUGAAGGAUGCGGCUGCGGCCGAUUAGGUAGACGGUGGGGUAACGGCCCACCGUGCCAGUAAUCGGUACGGGUGAUGAGAGUCAGAGCCCGGAGACGGAAUCUGAGACAAGAUUCCGGGCCCUACGGGGCGCAGCAGGCGCGAGACCUUUACACUGCACGGAAGUGCGAUAGGGGAAUCCCAAGUGCGAGGGCAUAUUAGCCCUCGCUUUUCUCGACUGUAAGGUGGUCGACGAAUAAGGGCUGGGCAAGACCGGUGCCAGCCGCCGCGGUAAUACCGGCAGCUCAAGUGAUGUCCCAUAUUAUUGGGCCUAAAGCGUCCGUAGCUGGCCGACCAAGUCUACCGGGAAAUCCACCCGCCCAACGGGUGGGCGUCCGGUAGAAACUGGCCGGCUUGGAACCGGAAGGCUCAGAGAGUACGUCCGGGGUAGGAGUGAAAUCCCGUAAUCCCGGACGGACUACCGAUGGCGAAAGCACUCUGAGAAGACGGCUUCGACAGUGAGGGACGAAAGCUCGGGUCUCAAACCGGAUUAGAUACCCGGGUAGUC